AGAGUUUGAUCAUGGCUCAGAUUGAACGCUGGCGGUAUGCUUAACACAUGCAAGUCGAACGGCAGCACAGACUGUAGCAAUACAGUUGGGUGGCGAGUGGCGGACGGGUGAGUAACGCGUGGGAAUCUGUCUUAAAGUGGGGGAUAACUCGAGGAAACUCGAGCUAAUACCGCAUAUCUAGCUUGCUAGAAAGGGGGCCUCUUCUUGAAAGCUCUCGCUUUAAGGUGAGCCUGCGUCUGAUUAGCUAGUUGGUAGGGUAAAGGCCUACCAAGGCAAUGAUCAGUAGCUGUUCUGAGAGGAAGACCAGCCACACUGGGACUGAGACACGGCCCAGACUCCUACGGGAGGCAGCAGUGGGGAAUAUUGGACAAUGGGGGAAACCCUGAUCCAGCAAUACCGCGUGUGUGAAGAAGGCCUGCGGGUUGUAAAGCACUUUUAUUGGGGAGGAAAAGUUAAAAGCUAAUACCUUUUAACCAUGACGCUACCCAAAGAAAAAGCACCGGCUAACUCUGUGCCAGCAGCCGCGGUAAUUC
RNAcentral lists this ribosomal RNA (533 nucleotides) under uncultured bacterium. RNAcentral describes it as "bacterial SSU rRNA". It matches the Rfam family "Bacterial small subunit ribosomal RNA", at positions 8 to 526 of the family's 1533-position model. The record is from RNAcentral.